CGGUAAGAUAGAAAGAGCAAUUGGAGGAUGCCUUGGCACACAGAGGCGAUGAAAGACGCAGCAACCGGCGAAACGCUACGGGGAGUUGGAAGCAAGCAUUGAUCCGUAGAUAUCUGAAUGGGGCAACCCAACGGGAGUCAUGUCCCGUUACUCCGCAAGGAGGGCAAACCCGGGGAAGUGAAACAUCUCAGUACCCGGAGGAAGAGAAAACAAACGUGAUUCCCUUAGUAGUGGCGAGCGAAACGGGAAGAGUCCAAACCGGUGUCCAAUGGGCAUCGGGGUUGUAGGGCGCUCAACAAAGUGUAUGAUAACUGAUAGCAGAAUUGACCUGGAAAGUCAAGCCAUAGAAGGUGAAAGCCCUGUAAGCGAAAUCGGAAGUUGGCAUGAGAGCGUACCUGAGUACCGCGGAGCAGGUGGAAUUCUGCGGGAACCAGCCGGAACCAUCCGGUAAGACUAAAUACUCCUGUGUGACCGAUAGUGAACCAGUACCGUGAGGGAAAGGUGAAAAGAACCCUUAAGAAGGGAGUGAAAAGAAUCUGAAACCAAUUGCUUACAAACGGUCGGAGCGGAUUUAUUCCGUGACGGCGUGCCUUUUGCUUAAUGAGCCAACGAGUUGCUCGUCACGUGCAAGGGUAAGAUUUUUAAGAAUCGCACCCGUAGCGAAAGCAAGUCUGAAAAGGGCGAUUAGUGCGUGGCGGCAGACGCGAAACCGUGUGAUCUAUCCAUGGUCAGGAUGAAGUAUCGGUAACACGAUAUGGAGGUCCGAACUGGUGCGGGUUGAAAACUGCUCGGAUGAACUGUGGAUGGGGGUGAAAGGCCAAUCAAACUCGGUGAUAGCUCGUACUCCCCGAAAUGUAUUUAGGUGCAGCCUCGAGUUAGUGUUCCGGAGGUAGGGCUCUGAUUGGGCUAGGGCUGUCACAACGGUACCGAACCCAGAUAAACUUCAAAUACCGGAAACAUGAUGCUCGGGAGUAAGGCGGCGAGGGAUAAGCUUCGUUGCCGAGAGGGAAAGAACCCAGACCGCCGAUUAAGGUCCCCAAGUGUAUGCUAACAGAUAAAGGAUGUUGCGUUGCUGAGACAGCCAGGAUGUUGGCUUAGAAGCAGCCACUCAUUGAAAGAGUGCGUAAUAGCUCACUGGUCGAGCGACGCAGCGCCGAUAAUUAUCGGGACUGCAAGCAUACCACCGAAAUCGCGGAUUCAGCUUUACAGCUGAGUGGUAGGGGAGCAUUCUACGGGCAUUGAAGGUGUGAUGUGAGUCAUGCUGGAGCGCGUAGAAGAGCAAAUGUUGGCAUAAGUAGCGAGAACGAAAGUGAGAAUCUUUCGCGCCGAAAGUCUAAGGUUUCCUGAGCUCCGUUCGUCGACUCAGGGUUAGUCGGCCCCUAAGGUGAGGCCGAGAGGCGUAAUUGAUGGGAAACAGGCACAUUAUAAUAUUCCUGUACCGCUAUAGCAAUAAAAGUGACGCAAUGAAACGGUCAUACCAGCCAAAUGGCUAUGCAGGUAUGGCUUAGAGUUGCCGAGAAAAGCGAGCUAUGGCGACCGUACCGCAAACCGACACAGGUAGACGGGUUGAAUAUACUCAGGCGCGCGAGUGAGCCGUGGUUAAGGAACUCGGCAAAUUAACCCCGUAACUUCGGGAGAAGGGGUGCUGGAGCAAUCCAGCCGCAGAGAAAUGGCCCAAGCGACUGUUUAACAAAAACACAUCACUCUGCUAACACGUAAAGUGGAUGUAUAGGGUGUGACACCUGCCCGGUGCCGGAAGGUUAAGAGGAGAUGUCAGGCGCAAGCCGAAGCAUUGAAUCGAAGCCCCGGUAAACGGCGGCCGUAACUAUAACGGUCCUAAGGUAGCGAAAUUCCUUGUCGGGUAAGUUCCGACCUGCACGAAUGGUGUAACGAUUUGGGCACUGUCUCAACCACGGGCUCGGCGAAAUUGUGGUACCGGUGAAGACGCCGGUUACCCGCAUAUGGACGGAAAGACCCUAUGCACCUUUACUAUAACUUACUAUUGGCUCUGGUUGCAUCAUGCGUAGGAUAGGUGGGAGUCAGCGAAGCAGUGCUCUUGGGCAUUGUGGAGACAACGGUGAAAUACCACCCUUGAUGCAGUUGGAUUCUAACCCGGCGGCGUGUAGCCGCGGGGACAGUGGUAGGCGGGUAGUUUGACUGGGGCGGUCGCCUCCUAAAUUGUAACGGAGGCUUGCAAAGGUUCCCUCAGCACGGUUGGUAAUCGUGCCAAGAGCGCAAAAGCAGAAGGGAGCUUGACUGUGAGACCGACAGGUCGAGCAGGUACGAAAGUAGGUUUUAGUGAUCCGGCGGCACCGAGUGGAAGGGCCGUCGCUCAAAGGAUAAAAGGUACGCUAGGGAUAACAGGCUGAUCUUCCCCAAGAGUUCACAUCGACGGGAAGGUUUGGCACCUCGAUGUCGGCUCAUCGCAUCCUGGGGCUGGAGAAGGUCCCAAGGGUUUGGCUGUUCGCCAAUUAAAGCGGUACGUGAGCUGGGUUCAGAACGUCGUGAGACAGUUCGGUCCCUAUCCUAUGCGGGCGAAAGAUACUUGAGGGGACUCGUUCUUAGUACGAGAGGACCGGAAUGACUGGACCGACGGUGUGUCUGUUGUUUUGCCAAAGGCAUUGCAGAGUAGCCACGUCCAGAAAGGAUAAGUGCUGAACGCAUCUCAAGCACGAAACCUGCCCCAAGAUGAGGUAUCUCACAGCGUUAAGCUGGUAAGGACCCAGAGAGAUGAUCUGGUCGAUAGGCUCGACGUAGAAGCGUGGCGACACGUGGAGCGGAAGAGUACUAAUAGUCCGAGGGCUUAUCGAU
This 2811-nucleotide ribosomal RNA is filed under the name Ignavibacteria bacterium. RNAcentral describes it as "23S ribosomal RNA". It matches the Rfam family "Bacterial large subunit ribosomal RNA". The record is from RNAcentral. Lineage: Bacteria; Pseudomonadati; Ignavibacteriota; Ignavibacteria.